Molecule: ribosomal RNA, 273 nt
Filed under: uncultured bacterium
Lineage: Bacteria
Description: partial 16S ribosomal RNA
Rfam family: Bacterial small subunit ribosomal RNA
Source: RNAcentral
UACGUAGGGUGCGAGCGUUAAUCGGAAUUACUGGGCGUAAAGCGUGCGCAGGCGGUUCGUUGUGUCUGAUGUGAAAGCCCCGGGCUCAACCUGGGAACUGCAUUGGAAACUGGCGGACUUGAGUGUGGCAGAGGGGGGUGGAAUUCCGCGUGUAGCAGUGAAAUGCGUAGAGAUGCGGAGGAACACCGAUGGCGAAGGCAGCCCCCUGGGCCAACACUGACGCUCAGGCACGAAAGCGUGGGGAGCAAACAGGAUUAGAAACCCCCGUAGUCC